AUUGAACGCUGGCGGCAUGCUUUACACAUGCAAGUCGAACGGGCUUGGGGGCUUUGCUCCCAAGUUAGUGGCGAACGGGUGAGUAAUACAUCGGAACGUACCGUGUAGUGGGGGAUAACGUAGCGAAAGUUACGCUAAUACCGCAUACGAUCUACGGAUGAAAGCAGGGGACCUUCGGGCCUUGUGCUAUACGAGCGGCCGAUGUCUGAUUAGCUAGUUGGUGAGGUAAAGGCUCACCAAGGCGACGAUCUGUAGCGGGUCUGAGAGGAUGAUCCGCCACACUGGAACUGAGACACGGUCCAGACUCCUACGGGAGGCAGCAGUGGGGAAUUUUGGACAAUGGGCGCAAGCCUGAUCCAGCCAUGCCGCGUGAGUGAAGAAGGCCUCGGUU
Molecule: ribosomal RNA, 391 nt
Filed under: uncultured bacterium
Lineage: Bacteria
Description: bacterial SSU rRNA
Rfam family: Bacterial small subunit ribosomal RNA
Source: RNAcentral